GCCCACUUUCUAGCCCCAACAACAUUAAUACCCCAACACCCCCAAGAUAACCAAAAUAAAACAUUUUAACUUUUUAGUAGAGGUGAUCGAAAUCUACCUAGGCGCUUCAGAAACAGUACCGCAAGGGAAGCAUGAAAUAAAAAUGAAAUAACCCCAAAGCCUAAAAUAGCAGAGCCUCUAACUCGUACCUUU
This 192-nucleotide ribosomal RNA is filed under the name Theloderma moloch (black-spotted frog). RNAcentral describes it as "partial 16S ribosomal RNA". Lineage: Eukaryota; Metazoa; Chordata; Amphibia; Anura; Rhacophoridae. The record is from RNAcentral.